AUUAAGCCAUGCAUGUCUAAGUACUUGCUAUAACAAGGCGAAACCGCGAAUGGCUCAUUAAAUCAGUUAUGGUUCACUAGAUCGUACAGUUUACACGGAUAACUGUGGUAAUUCUAGAGCUAAUACGUGCAACCAGCUUGCUCUUUCGGGAGCAAGCGCAGUUAUUAGAUCAAAACCAAUCCGGCCUUCGGGUCGGUUAAAUUGGUGACUCUGAAUAACCGAAGCGGAGCGCAUAGUCUCGUACUGGCGCCAGAUCUUUCAAGUGUCUGACUUAUCAGCUUGUUGUUAGGUUAUGUUCCUAACAAGGCUCUUACGGGUAACGGGGGAUUAGGGUUCGAUCCCGGAGAGAGAGCCUGAGAAACGGCUAUCAUAUCUAAGGAAAGCAGCAGGCGCGUAAAUUAUCCAAUCCCAGAUCGGGGAGGUAGUGACGAAAAAUAACGAUGCGAGAGCUCUAAGCUCCUCGUAAUCGGAAUGGGUACACUUUAA
This 486-nucleotide ribosomal RNA is filed under the name Tardigrada sp. A028 MOTU013. RNAcentral describes it as "SSU rRNA". It matches the Rfam family "Eukaryotic small subunit ribosomal RNA", at positions 43 to 528 of the family's 1831-position model. The record is from RNAcentral. Lineage: Eukaryota; Metazoa; Tardigrada.